Molecule: ribosomal RNA, 253 nt
Filed under: uncultured bacterium
Lineage: Bacteria
Description: partial 16S ribosomal RNA
Rfam family: Bacterial small subunit ribosomal RNA
Source: RNAcentral
UACGGAGGGUGCAAGCGUUAUCCGGAUUCACUGGGUUUAAAGGGUGCGUAGGCGGAUUGGUAAGUCCGUGGUGAAAUCUCUAAGCUUAACUUGGAAACUGCCAUGGAUACUAUUAGUCUUGAAUAUUGUGGAGGUUAGCGGAAUAUGUCAUGUAGCGGUGAAAUGCAUAGAUAUGACAUAGAACACCAAUUGCGAAGGCAUCUCGCUACACGAAGAUUGACUCUGAGGCACGAAAGCGUGGGGAUCAAACAGG